This is a long non-coding RNA of Hydractinia symbiolongicarpus, 598 nucleotides long. RefSeq lists it as uncharacterized. The record is from RefSeq and is a predicted model, not a curated record. The transcript has 2 exons. NCBI's taxonomy places the organism in Eukaryota, Metazoa, Cnidaria, Hydrozoa, Anthoathecata, Hydractiniidae.
AUCAAGCAGCUAGCUAAAAUAGAAAUGUGUAGCUAGUAGUCCUAAUACUACACGUAUUCUGAUUACUACUCUGAUGCCUAGUAGGUUUACAGCUAGAAAAUCUCUAAAGGGAAAGGUUGGUUCCUGUAUCUAACAGCUAAAUACCUAACCACUGCAAGAAAAAACGUUUGUUUCACAACACACAGUUCCCGCGCAUUGUGCCUCAGAAAUAUGUCAUCAGAUCUAGUUCACGGCUACUAUCGAACAAGGGCGACAUAACUCGUCAAACGAUGACUAAGGAUUUAAAAGCAAUUAUCUACUUUGUUUCCCCCCGCAAACUACUAUAGCUCACAUCCAUGUGUAUACUAAUGCAGCCUGUUAUGAUGUCAACUGAGCUAGCUGAUCGAAUUACCCCCAACAAAGGUUAUCAUUCUUGCGAUCGGAUUCACGUCAUAACACUGGUUGAACCAAUCAUGGGCCAGUAUUCAGGUUACGCAGCCAUUAUGAAAUGAUGUAAAAUGCCGCAAUCAUAAUGUUUUUGUGGUGAAACCUUCAUAAUUAAAAUACUGGAUUUUUCAAGAAUUCUUUUUUUUUAGUCAAAUCUUUAAUAUGUUUUAGA